Non-coding RNA from Acanthosepion pharaonis, 110 nucleotides. Lineage: Eukaryota; Metazoa; Mollusca; Cephalopoda; Sepiida; Sepiidae. The record is from the annotation of a GenBank genome assembly.
GGCAAUAUCACGUUAAAACCCUGGUUCCCUUACGAUCACCGAAGUUAAGCAGCGUCGAGUUUGGUCAGCAUCAAGAUGGGUAUCCGCUUGGGAAUAGCAGGUGCUGUAAG